GGAUUGUGGCUCAGUGGUAGAGUGCUCUCCUAGCACGUGUAAAGGCCUGGGUUCGAUCCUCAGCACCA
Molecule: transfer RNA, 68 nt
Filed under: Marmota monax (woodchuck)
Lineage: Eukaryota; Metazoa; Chordata; Mammalia; Rodentia; Sciuridae
Description: tRNA.Ala
Source: RNAcentral